This 497-nucleotide ribosomal RNA is filed under the name uncultured bacterium. RNAcentral describes it as "partial 16S ribosomal RNA". It matches the Rfam family "Bacterial small subunit ribosomal RNA", at positions 28 to 507 of the family's 1533-position model. The record is from RNAcentral.
GACGAACGCUGGCGGCGUGCCUAAUACAUGCAAGUAGAACGCUGAAGAGAGGAGCUUACUCUUCUUGGAUGAGUUGCGAACGGGUGAGUAACGCGUAGGUAACCUGCCUUGUAGCGGGGGAUAACUAUUGGAAACGAUAGCUAAUACCGCAUAACAAUGGAUGACACAUGUCAUUUAUUUGAAAGGGGCAAUUGCUCCACUACAAGAUGGACCUGCGUUGUAUUAGCUAGUAGGUGAGGUAAUGGCUCACCUAGGCGACGAUACAUAGCCGACCUGAGAGGGUGAUCGGCCACACCGGGACUGAGACACGGCCCAGACUCCUACGGGAGGCAGCAGUAGGGAAUCUUCGGCAAUGGGGGCAACCCUGACCGAGCAACGCCGCGUGAGUGAAGAAGGUUUUCGGAUCGUAAAGCUCUGUUGUAAGUCAAGAACGGGUGUGAGAGUGGAAAGUUCACACUGUGACGGUAGCUUACCAGAAAGGGACGGCUAACUACGUG